UACGUAGGGGGCGAGCGUUAUCCGGAUUUACUGGGCGUAAAGCGCAUUAAGGCGGCCGGCAAAGUUGGUGGUGAAAUUUCAGGGCUCAACCCUGAAACUGCCUCCAAUACUGGUUGGCUAGAGUGUGAGAGAGGAAGGUGGAAUUCCCGGUGUAGUAGUGAAAUGCGUAGAUAUCGGGAGGAACACCAGUGGCGAAGGCGGCCUUCUGGCUCAUAACUGACGCUGAGGCGCGAAAGCUAGGGGAGCAAACAGG
This 253-nucleotide ribosomal RNA is filed under the name uncultured bacterium. Its description in RNAcentral is "partial 16S ribosomal RNA". It matches the Rfam family "Bacterial small subunit ribosomal RNA", at positions 524 to 776 of the family's 1533-position model. The record is from RNAcentral.